GACGAACGCUGGCGGCGUGCUUAACACAUGCAAGUCGAACGGAAAGGCCCCUUUGGGGGUACUCGAGUGGCGAACGGGUGAGUAACACGUGAGUAACCUGCCCUUGACUUCGGGAUAACUUCAGGAAACUGGGGCUAAUACCGGAUAGGAAUCCUUGCUGCAUGGUGGGGAUUGGAAAGCUUCGGCGGUUUUGGAUGGACUCGCGGCUUAUCAGCUUGUUGGUGGGGUAGUGGCUUACCAAGGCUUUGACGGGUAGCCGGCCUGAGAGGGCGACCGGCCACAUUGGGACUGAGAUACGGCCCAGACUCCUACGGGAGGCAGCAGGGGGGAAUAUUGCACAAUGGGCGGAAGCCUGAUGCAGCAACGCCGCGUGCGGGAUGACGGCCUUCGGGUUGUAAACCGCUUUCAGCAGGGGCGAAGCUUGUGGUGACGGUACCUGCAGAAGAAGCACCGGCUAACUACGUG
This 465-nucleotide ribosomal RNA is filed under the name uncultured bacterium. RNAcentral's name for it is "partial 16S ribosomal RNA". It matches the Rfam family "Bacterial small subunit ribosomal RNA", at positions 28 to 507 of the family's 1533-position model. The record is from RNAcentral.